AGCUCCAAUAGCGUAUAUUAAAGUUGCUGCAGUUAAAAAGCUCGUAGUUGCAUUUCCGAGGCAAGGGAUUAGUCCGACCUUUGGUGGGUAUUUAAUCCUCUUGCCUCGUCCUUGAGUGGUGCUUCUUGGUAUUAAGUUAUCGAGGAGAUAGCCGCUCAUCGUUUACUGUGAGAAAAUUAGAGUGUUCAAAGCAGGCUUAUGCCGUUGAAUAUAUUAGCAUGGAAUAAUAAAUAGGACCUCGGUACUAUUUGGUUGGUUUGAGAACCAAGGUAAUGAUGAAUAGGGACAGUUGGGGGUAUUCGUAUUCAGUUGUCAGAGGUGAAAUUCUUAGAUUUACGGAAGACGAACUACUGCGAAAGCAUUUACCAAGGAUGUUUUCA
Molecule: ribosomal RNA, 380 nt
Filed under: uncultured marine Chaetocerotaceae
Lineage: Eukaryota; Bacillariophyta; Thalassiosirophyceae; Chaetocerotales; Chaetocerotaceae
Description: SSU rRNA
Rfam family: Eukaryotic small subunit ribosomal RNA
Source: RNAcentral